GAUGAAGAAGUGGCGAAAUGCGAUAAGUAGUGUGAAUUGCAGAAUUCAGUGAAUCAUCGAAUCUUUGAACGCACAUUGCGCCCCAUGGUAUUCCGUGGGGCAUGCCUGUUCGAGCGUCAUUUACCCCCUCAAGCUCCGCUUGGUGUUGGGCGUCUGUCCCGCUUCGCGCGCGGACUCGCCCCAAAGGUAUUGGCAGCGGUCGUGCCAGCUUCUCGCGCAGCACAUUGCGCUUCUCGAGGCACCGGUGGGCCCGCGUCCAUCAAGCUCACCCCCCCAGUUUGACCUCGGAUCAGGUAGGGAUACCCGCUGAACUUAAGCAUAUCAAUAAGCGGAGGA
RNAcentral lists this unclassified non-coding RNA (336 nucleotides) under soil metagenome. Its description in RNAcentral is "partial contains 5.8S ribosomal RNA, internal transcribed spacer 2, and large subunit ribosomal RNA". The stretch from base 1 to 119 matches the Rfam family "5.8S ribosomal RNA", at positions 35 to 154 of the family's 154-position model. The record is from RNAcentral.